GAUGAACGCUGGCGGCGUGCCUAAUACAUGCAAGUCGAGCGAACAGACGAGGAGCUUGCUCCUCUGACGUUAGCGGCGGACGGGUGAGUAACACGUGGAUAACCUACCUAUAAGACUGGGAUAACUUCGGGAAACCGGAGCUAAUACCGGAUAAUAUAUUGAACCGCAUGGUUCAAUAGUGAAAGACGGUUUUGCUGUCACUUAUAGAUGGAUCCGCGCCGCAUUAGCUAGUUGGUAAGGUAACGGCUUACCAAGGCAACGAUGCGUAGCCGACCUGAGAGGGUGAUCAGCCACACUGGAACUGAGACACGGUCCAGACUCCUACGGGAGGCAGCAGUAGGGAAUCUUGGGCAAUGGGCGAAAGCCUGACGGAGCAACGCCGCGUGAGUGAUGAAGGUCUUCGGAUCGUAAAACACUGUUAUUAGGGAAGAACAAAUUUGUAAGAAACUAUGCACGGCUUGACGGUACCUAAUCAGAAAGCAACGGCUAACUACGUG
This 497-nucleotide ribosomal RNA is filed under the name uncultured bacterium. RNAcentral's name for it is "partial 16S ribosomal RNA". It matches the Rfam family "Bacterial small subunit ribosomal RNA", at positions 28 to 507 of the family's 1533-position model. The record is from RNAcentral.